Molecule: ribosomal RNA, 1227 nt
Filed under: uncultured bacterium
Lineage: Bacteria
Description: partial 16S ribosomal RNA
Rfam family: Bacterial small subunit ribosomal RNA
Source: RNAcentral
GAGGACUGGCGGCGUGCUUACCAUGCAAGUCGAACGGGCAUAUCUUUCGGGGUAUGUUAGUGGCAGACGGGUGCGUAACACGUAGGUGACCUGCCCUAGAGUGGGGAAUAACUAGUCUAACGACUAGCUAAUACCGCAUGAACUCGGCGAUUCAGUUGGUCGAGUAAAGCUGCAAAGUGCUUUAGGAUGGGCCUGCGGCGGAUUAGGUAGUUGGUGGGGUAACGGCCUACCAAGCCGAUGAUCCGUAGGGGGCGUGAGAGCGUGACCCCCCACACUGGCACUGAGACACGGGCCAGACUCCUACGGGAGGCAGCAGUGAGGAAUAUUGCACAAUGGGCGCAAGCCUGAUGCAGCAACGCCGCGUGAGGGACGAAGGCCUUCGGGUCGUAAACCUCUUUUCUGGGGAAAGAGCAAGGACGGUACCUCAGGAAUAAGUCUCGGCUAACUGCGUGCCAGCAGCCGCGGUAAAACGUAGGAGGCGAGCGUUAUCCGGAUUUACUGGGCGUAAAGCGCAUGUAGGCGGCUUCGUGAGUCGGAUGUGAAAGCUCCUAGCUUAACUGGGAGAGGCCAUUCGAUACUGCGGGGCUUGAGGUUGGAAGAGGGGUGCGGAAUUCCCGGUGUAGUGGUGGAAUGCGUAGAUAUCGGGAGGAACACCUGUGGCGAAAGCGGCACCCUGGUCCACACCUGACGCUGAGAUGCGAAAGCGUGGGUAGCAAACAGGAUUAGAUACCCUGGUAGUCCACGCUGUAAACGAUGUCAACUAGGUGUCGGUAGCUUUACGCUAUCGGUGCCGAAGCUAACGCGUUAAGUUGACCGCCUGGGGACUACGGCCGCAAGGCUAAAACUCAAAGGAAUUGACGGGGGCCCGCACAAGCAGCGGAGCGUGUGGUUUAAUUCGAUGCAACACGAAGAACCUUACCCAGGUUUGACAUGGUCGUAGUAGUGAAGCGAAAGCGGAACGAGCCUUCGGGCAGCGAUCACAGGUGCUGCAUGGCUGUCGUCAGCUCGUGUCGUGAGAUGUUGGGUUAAGUCCCGCAACGAGCGCACCCCUGUGCAGUUACACGUGUCUGGCGAGACUGCGGUAUCAGCGAGAGGUGGGGAUGACGUCAGUCAGCAUGCUUUAUAUCGGGCUACCCAACACGCUACAUGUCGUACAUGGAUGCAGCGCGAGGCGGGGCUAUCCAUCAAAACGGGCCUCAGUUUCGGAUGGGAGGGGCUGCAACCGGC